GGGGAUGACAGGCUUCGACGGGAGAGGCUGGCCCCGAAUUGCGAGCCGAGAGGCGCCGACCUCGAUAAAUCAGCGCAAAACAAAAGUGCCAACAGCACAAACUACGCUGCUCUACCACUCGCUGCAUAAGCGAAUGAUGAAGCAGCUGGUCCUAUAAAUAGGGCCACGUCCGCCCACCCCGCUCUCCGACCGGAGGUGGUAUCGGGCGACAAAAAGUCGGAGUGCCGCACGAUACGCCGCUAAACGUGCGCAAGAGGGCUUUAGGGUCCUAGCGGCUGGUUGGGUGAUUAUCCUUGUCGGUUGUGAGACACCUGGCGACAUACAACAGCCGACUACGCUCGUAGAUAUUCGCGGGUUGAAUCUUUCGGACGCGGGUUCGAUUCCCGCCAUCUCCACCU
RNAcentral lists this transfer-messenger RNA (398 nucleotides) under Anaerolineales. RNAcentral's name for it is "DSOS01 sp020354045 Standard tmRNA". It matches the Rfam family "transfer-messenger RNA". From Rfam's summary of the family: Bacterial tmRNA, also known as 10Sa RNA or SsrA, is named for its dual tRNA and mRNA-like properties. Its role is to liberate the mRNA from a stalled ribosome. To accomplish this part of the tmRNA is used as a reading frame that ends in a translation stop signal. RNAcentral also lists the same sequence under 1 other name. Lineage: Bacteria; Bacillati; Chloroflexota; Anaerolineae. The record is from RNAcentral.